This 424-nucleotide ribosomal RNA is filed under the name uncultured bacterium. RNAcentral describes it as "bacterial SSU rRNA". It matches the Rfam family "Bacterial small subunit ribosomal RNA", at positions 359 to 776 of the family's 1533-position model. The record is from RNAcentral.
GAAUAUUGGACAAUGGGGGCAACCCUGAUCCAGCGACGCCGCGUGAGGGAAGAAGGCCUUCGGGUUGUAAACCUCUUUCAGGAGGGACGAAGCUACUCGGGUGAAUAGCCCAGAGGGUGACGGUACCUCCAGAAGAAGCCCCGGCUAACUACGUGCCAGCAGCCGCGGUAAUACGUAGGGGGCAAGCGUUGUCCGGAUUUACUGGGCGUAAAGAGCGUGUAGGCGGCCAAGCAGGUCUGUUGUGAAAACUGGAGGCUCAACUUCCAGACGUCGACGGAAACCGCUUGGCUAGAGUCCGGAAGAGGAGAGUGGAAUUCCUGGUGUAGCGGUGAAAUGCGCAGAUAUCAGGAAGAACACCGAUGGCGAAGGCAGCUCUCUGGGACGGUACUGACGCUGAGACGCGAAAGCGUGGGGAGCGAACAGG